This 1205-nucleotide long non-coding RNA is filed under the name Felis catus (domestic cat). RNAcentral's name for it is "lncRNA (ENSFCAG00000048445.1)". The record is from RNAcentral. Lineage: Eukaryota; Metazoa; Chordata; Mammalia; Carnivora; Felidae.
CCGCUCCUCAGAGAAGCAGAUGGAAGGGGAGGCCCCAAAUCAAGACGCUUACAGGCACUCCCACCUUCGGGAAGCAAGGGGUCAGCCGCGCGGCCUCGGGUCGAGCCUGCUCGAAUCCCGCCUCGCUCGCUUCCUGGCCGUGUGAUGUGCGGGCAACGUUGCUUCUCUGAGCCUCAGUGUCCUCCCCUGUAAAAUGGUCACGAGCACAGAUACGCCUGCUGCCUGGGGUCGUUCGCACUCCUUCAGCGAGCACUCCUGGAUUCUGAGCUUAGUGGGGGCAGCACAGGAUAGGAGUUCAACAGUGAACCUUGCUGCCCCUUCACUGCUGGGAGGAUUCGGGGUCUCCACCAGGUAGCGCUCAGGCCCCGGGAUCAGACAUGGUGAGUUUGAAUCCUGGCCCCCGCCCCUCACCAGUUGGGUUUGCCUUGGGCAGCUAGCCCAACCCGUCUGACUCUCCCCUCCUUUGGGCAGUGGGGACCCGUAACAGCCGCCACAUCAGAGGGCCAUCAGGAGGACUGCACGGGGAGGGCACACGCCAGGUUUAACCCAGUCACUGGCAUGUAGUAAGUGCUCAGUAAAUGUUGCUGGUGCUGUUGGUUUGAUCCCACCCCCCAAACACAAGCGCAAGACUCUCCUCCUUUACGUUCGAGUCACACGCAACGCGAUCCCCCGGCCCCGGGAGAGCCAGAGACCCUCAGAAGCUGCUUCAUCAACCGCACCUCCCAGCCAGAUCAACAUCACCUACGCGACCGUUGGCACCCCUGGGUCACCCACGAGGAACCCUGCCCCUGGGCUCAGGUAUCAGUUGUAUCCCUGUAUUCUGACCACUGCUUCCUCAACGUUUUGCUGCGGUUGAAGUUUUUGAGGAAAUGCACGUCACAUGUAAUUAACCAUUGGAGCGUACAAGUCAGUGGUAUUCAGUGCACUCACCACGUGGUGCGACCACCAGCUCGCUCUACUUUGAGGACUUUUCAGGGGCGCCUGGGUGGCUCAGUCGGUUAAGCGUCCGACUUCGGCUCAGGUCACGAUCUCACGGUCCGUGAGUUCGGGCCCCGUGUCGGGCUCCGUGCUGACAGCUCAGAGCCUGGAGGCUGCUUCGGAUUCUGUGUCUCUCCCUCUCUCUCUGCCCCUCCCCUGCUCGCACCCUCUCUCGCUCUUUCCCUUUCUCUCUCAAAAAUAAAUAAAUAUUAAAAGAAAUUAAACCA